Molecule: ribosomal RNA, 545 nt
Filed under: Gephyromantis tahotra
Lineage: Eukaryota; Metazoa; Chordata; Amphibia; Anura; Mantellidae
Description: partial 16S ribosomal RNA
Rfam family: Bacterial large subunit ribosomal RNA
Source: RNAcentral
CCUGCCAGUGACCUAGUUUACGGCCGCGGUACCCUAACCGCGCGAAGGUAGCAUAAUCACUUGUUCUUUAAUUGAGGACUUGUAUCAACGGCACCACGAGGGUUUUACUGUCUCCUCCCCCCAAUCAGUGAAACUAAUCUCCCCGUGAAGAAGCGGGGAUGAACCUAUAAGACGAGAAGACCCCAUGGAGCUUUAAACUAAAUUACAAUCCAACUUGCACACACCCACAUAUCUAGGUGGAUCCUGUACAUUCAGCUUUAGGUUGGGGUGACCGCGGAGUACAAAUUAACCUCCACGAUAAACGAAUACUUUUCUUAUCUAAGAAUCACACUUCUAAGAAUUAGUACACUAAUAUAAAAUGAUCCGAUAAUCGAUCAACGGACCAAGUUACCCUGGGGAUAACAGCGCAAUCCAUUUUAAGAGCCCCUAUCGACAAAUGGGUUUACGACCUCGAUGUUGGAUCAGGAUAUCCUAGUGGUGCAGCAGCUACUGAAGGUUCGUUUGUUCAACGAUUAAAAUCCUACGUGAUCUGAGUUCAGACCGGA